AUUGAACGCUGGCGGCAUGCCUUACACAUGCAAGUCGAACGGCAGCACGGGAGCAAUCCUGGUGGCGAGUGGCGAACGGGUGAGUAAAGUAUCGGAACGUGCCCAGUCGUGGGGGAUAACGUAGCGAAAGUUACGCUAAUACCGCAUACGAUCUAUGGAUGAAAGCGGGGGAUCGCAAGACCUCGCGCGAUUGGAGCGGCCGAUAUCAGAUUAGGUAGUUGGUGGGGUAAAGGCCCACCAAGCCGACGAUCUGUAGCUGGUCUGAGAGGACGGCCAGCCACACUGGGACUGAGCCACGGCCCAGACUCCUACGGGAGGCAGCAGUGGGGAAUUUUGGACAAUGGGCGAAAGCCUGAUCCAGCCAUGCCGCGUGCAGGAUGAAGGCCUUCGGGUUGUAAACUGCUUUUGUACGGAACGAAAAGGACUGCCCUAAUACGGUGGUCCCAUGACGGUACCGUAAGAAUAAGCACCGGCUAACUACGUGCCAGCCGCCGCAGUAA
RNAcentral lists this ribosomal RNA (500 nucleotides) under uncultured bacterium. RNAcentral's name for it is "partial 16S ribosomal RNA". It matches the Rfam family "Bacterial small subunit ribosomal RNA", at positions 30 to 523 of the family's 1533-position model. The record is from RNAcentral.